GCCCACGGCCAAGCGGAGAUUAGCCUGCACUUUGCUGACCUAGGAGGGCCUGGUUCGUCCUUGGAUGGGAGACCACCAGGAAAUACCAGGUGCUGCUGGUG
RNAcentral lists this ribosomal RNA (101 nucleotides) under Salvator merianae (Argentine black and white tegu). The record is from RNAcentral. Lineage: Eukaryota; Metazoa; Chordata; Lepidosauria; Squamata; Teiidae.